Molecule: ribosomal RNA, 686 nt
Filed under: Bacillus atrophaeus
Lineage: Bacteria; Bacillati; Bacillota; Bacilli; Caryophanales; Bacillaceae
Description: bacterial SSU rRNA
Rfam family: Bacterial small subunit ribosomal RNA
Source: RNAcentral
AACGCUGGCGGCGUGCCUAAUACAUGCAAGUCGAGCGGACAGAUGGGAGCUUGCUCCCUGAUGUUAGCGGCGGACGGGUGAGUAACACGUGGGUAACCUGCCUGUAAGACUGGGAUAACUCCGGGAAACCGGGGCUAAUACCGGAUGCUUGUUUGAACCGCAUGGUUCAAACAUAAAAGGUGGCUUCGGCUACCACUUACAGAUGGACCCGCGGCGCAUUAGCUAGUUGGUGAGGUAACGGCUCACCAAGGCAACGAUGCGUAGCCGACCUGAGAGGGUGAUCGGCCACACUGGGACUGAGACACGGCCCAGACUCCUACGGGAGGCAGCAGUAGGGAAUCUUCCGCAAUGGACGAAAGUCUGACGGAGCAACGCCGCGUGAGUGAUGAAGGUUUUCGGAUCGUAAAGCUCUGUUGUUAGGGAAGAACAAGUGCCGUUCAAAUAGGGCGGCACCUUGACGGUACCUAACCAGAAAGCCACGGCUAACUACGUGCCAGCAGCCGCGGUAAUACGUAGGUGGCAAGCGUUGUCCGGAAUUAUUGGGCGUAAAGGGCUCGCAGGCGGUUUCUUAAGUCUGAUGUGAAAGCCCCCGGCUCAACCGGGGAGGGUCAUUGGAAACUGGGGAACUUGAGUGCAGAAGAGGAGAGUGGAAUUCCACGUGUAGCGGUGAAAUGCGUAGAGAUGUG